This 315-nucleotide unclassified non-coding RNA is filed under the name Melitaea cinxia (Glanville fritillary). RNAcentral describes it as "misc RNA ENSMCXG00005016711.1". Lineage: Eukaryota; Metazoa; Arthropoda; Insecta; Lepidoptera; Nymphalidae. The record is from RNAcentral.
AUGAAACUCGACCCCUAAGGUGAUAAAACGGGGGUUGGAAGUUUGUAUGAAAGUCCUAUGUUUUUGAAGUAAGAGACUUGAAAUUUAAAAUGUAUGCUCUAUAGAUGGCAAGGAAGUGUCCAAAUAAUACAUCGUAAUCUAUAUAUAUAUAAGAGAAAGGUCACUGAUUGACAUCACGAGAACUCAAAAACCGCUGGAUGGUCCAUCCAUCCAAGAUGGACAAAGAUGAAAUUUGGCAGGGAGGUAGAUUAUAGUUAGUAGACGUCCGCUAAGAACGGAUUUUGCGAUAUUCCAUCGCUAAAGGGGUUUAAUUGG